RNAcentral lists this small nuclear RNA (351 nucleotides) under Neotoma lepida (desert woodrat). Its description in RNAcentral is "7SK RNA". It matches the Rfam family "7SK RNA". Rfam says of the family: 7SK was discovered as an abundant small nuclear RNA in the mid-70s but a possible function has only recently been suggested. Lineage: Eukaryota; Metazoa; Chordata; Mammalia; Rodentia; Cricetidae. The record is from Rfam by way of RNAcentral.
GGGUGUGAGCAUGAUCUGACUGUGACAUCUGUCACUACAUUAAUCACCGGUGUUGAUCUGGCUGAUCUGGCUGGCUAGGUGGGUGUCCCCUACAUCCGUUAUGGCUUCACAUCCGUCCCUCCUGAAUCUAUACACUUAGUAGGUAAAGAGGACAGCCUUCCAAAGUAUGGGAGGAUGACCUCCUGCCAUAGAGGAGGACGGUUCCUGGUAAAAGGUAGCUGCACUCCUCUGAUAGAAUCUCCAAACAAGCUCUCAAAGGGUGUCCAAACUACUGUGCAAAUGACAGUAUAAUGAAGCCAAGGUCCCUUGAGAAUACAAACCCUUAGUAUAGUUAGUAUACAUGUGGGAAUU